RNAcentral lists this transfer RNA (72 nucleotides) under Urocitellus parryii (Arctic ground squirrel). Its description in RNAcentral is "Spermophilus parryii (Arctic ground squirrel) tRNA". It matches the Rfam family "tRNA". From Rfam's summary of the family: Transfer RNA (tRNA) molecules are approximately 80 nucleotides in length. Their secondary structure includes four short double-helical elements and three loops (D, anti-codon, and T loops). Further hydrogen bonds mediate the characteristic L-shaped molecular structure. tRNAs have two regions of fundamental functional importance: the anti-codon, which is responsible for specific mRNA codon recognition, and the 3' end, to which the tRNAs corresponding amino acid is attached (by aminoacyl-tRNA synthetases). tRNAs cope with the degeneracy of the genetic code in two manners: having more than one tRNA (with a specific anti-codon) for a particular amino acid; and 'wobble' base-pairing, i.e. permitting non-standard base-pairing at the 3rd anti-codon position. Lineage: Eukaryota; Metazoa; Chordata; Mammalia; Rodentia; Sciuridae. RNAcentral also lists the same sequence under 1 other name. The record is from Rfam by way of RNAcentral.
GGAGAUAGAGCUCAGUGGUAGAGCACUUGCCUAGCAUGCAUGAGGCCCUGGGUUCAAUCCCCACUACCACAA